This 1079-nucleotide long non-coding RNA is filed under the name Sus scrofa (pig). RNAcentral describes it as "lncRNA (ENSSSCG00055009911.1)". The record is from RNAcentral. Lineage: Eukaryota; Metazoa; Chordata; Mammalia; Artiodactyla; Suidae.
ACUGAGUUUUGUUUACAAGUGCUUGGUAAGGUUUUGGGUACUUUAGGAUGGAAGUUGUGAAGUCUAUGGAUAAUAUUAUCAUGCUCCUGAGCAUCCUUUUAUUCUCUACAGGCAAAUAGCAUAGACAUAAAUCACCUUGCUUCCACAGUGACUAUGAAUCCUUGAAGCUUUAAAGUUUGUGAAGGUUCUUCUAUUUUGUAUGUGUCCUUUCUUUUAAGGCAUAACCCUUUAGAAUUAUGAACUAUAAACUGGGGGUGAUUAUAGGAUCUGACUUCGUUUUUAGGACUUUGAAUGUAUUAGUUUUUACCUUGUACUCUGAAACUGCCAGACCCUUAAUAUGUGCUUUCUUUCUCAGAAGCUGUUUUCUUAGUUGUUUUAUGACUUUUUACUCUGUGUAUGUCCAGUUUAGGAAUUUGUAAAUUUUCGAGGGAGUGUACACAACAGGCCUGGAUUAACUUCCAUGGUUCGAUUUCUCUGCCAUUCUGUCCUCUUAAUUCCUGGUUGCUCUGGUUUACAUGAACUUCAUUAUCUGUUUCUUCAGCUUAGUGGCAACAAUACAAGUUCCAGAUCAUAAUCUCUGAUCCGGCUUCACAACUUGAAGAUAGCAAAUAACUUUUCAGGGAGAAGGCUACUUUGAAAGCAACCUUGGUCAAUGUCUAUAGGGUCUCUACUGUCAAGUUCUGGUACUUUAGUUGCUUUCUUAUGCUUUCAAUCAGUUACAUUUCAGUGUGUUACGCAUUUUGUGACUAUGAAUCAGCUUCCUUUUUUUCAAUCCACUGUGAUACAGGAGAAAUUGAGAUCCUAACUCAUUCAUUCAUUCAUGACAAUGGUGAAUUCACCACAGUCAAUAUGACCUUAGAAUUUGAUCAUUUGGUAACCACUCAGCCUUCCCAACAACCUUGUCGUUGGAAACAUUCUCAGUAGAAACUCCCAAGAUGAAACUGGAUACACUGAUAAUUUUUUCCAUCCGAUUUACCAGGUUUUCUUUAUAAGAUGCAAGCCACAGACAUUAGAAAUAGCCACUCCAACAAGUGAGAGAGCUAAAAUAAUACAUAAAUAAAUAUGAGGAGAUAAAUUCA